UUCAUUGAUGGUUUGGAGUCUCUGGACAUGUAGCAUUCUGGGAAUUUUUUUUCCCGUGGAUUCUAGCAUUUUCUCGAGAUUCGACAUCUUCCUAUGUUUUUAAUUCUGAUCUUAUGUUUGGAUAUUUUAGAUCU
RNAcentral lists this small RNA (134 nucleotides) under Arabidopsis thaliana (thale cress). RNAcentral describes it as "ATSL250160". The record is from RNAcentral. Lineage: Eukaryota; Viridiplantae; Streptophyta; Magnoliopsida; Brassicales; Brassicaceae.